Molecule: ribosomal RNA, 253 nt
Filed under: uncultured bacterium
Lineage: Bacteria
Description: partial 16S ribosomal RNA
Rfam family: Bacterial small subunit ribosomal RNA
Source: RNAcentral
GACGUAGGGCGCGAGCGUUGUCCGGAUUGAUUGGGCGUAAAGAGCUCGUAGGCGGCUCGUUGCGUCGGCUGUGAAAACCCGCAGCUCAACUGUGGGCCUGCAGCUGAUACGGGCGGGCUGGAGUUCGGUAGGGGAGACUGGAAUUCCUGGUGUAGCGGUGAAAUGCGCAGAUAUCAGGAGGAACACCGGUGGCGAAGGCGGGUCUCUGGGCCGAUACUGACGCUGAGACGCGAAAGCGUGGGGAGCGAACAGG